Molecule: ribosomal RNA, 497 nt
Filed under: uncultured bacterium
Lineage: Bacteria
Description: partial 16S ribosomal RNA
Rfam family: Bacterial small subunit ribosomal RNA
Source: RNAcentral
GAUGAACGCUGGCGGCGUGCCUAAUACAUGCAAGUCGAGCGAACAGACGAGGAGCUUGCUCCUCUGACGUUAGCGGCGGACGGGUGAGUAACACGUGGAUAACCUACCUAUAAGACUGGGAUAACUUCGGGAAACCGGAGCUAAUACCGGAUAAUAUAUUGAACCGCAUGGUUCAAUAGUGAAAGACGGUUUUGCUGUCACUUAUAGAUGGAUCCGCGCCGCAUUAGCUAGUUGGUAAGGUAACGGCUUACCAAGGCAACGAUGCGUAGCCGACCUGAGAGGGUGAUCGGCCACCUUGGAACUGAGAAAAGGUCCAGACUCCUACGGGAGGCAGCAGUAGGGAAUCUUCCGCAAUGGGCGAAAGCCUGACGGAGCAACGCCGCGUGAGUGAUGAAGGUCUUCGGAUCGUAAAACUCUGUUAUUAGGGAAGAACAAAUGUGUAAGUAACUAUGCACGUCUUGACGGUACCUAAUCAGAAAGCCACGGCUAACUACGUG